AGAUUUUUAUAUUAAUUACGGUAUUGAUGGAGAUGGAGGCAAAAAAUAGAAGGCAUCUGAAAAUGAUGGCAAUAGUUCAUGAUAUGGGGAAUCCAAAUACAUUUGCAACAAGAAAACCCAUAGCCACACAUUUUAUUCAAGUACUCAUCAAAUGUUCUGCAUCCUCCCUGGUACUCUUGGAUCUGAAAAUGCCCCAAGGCAGAAGUCAACUCAUGAUAUUUUCUCCUGUUUUUAAUUGAAGUACUGGUGCCCAGGAGUACUGCAAAGUGUAGAUCACAGAUAUCAGAAUAGAUGGUGUUGCAGUAUCAGGACAGUGAAAGAGAUAAUGCAACAGAGACCCAGGAAUGCUAACUAUAGGAAUGGGAUACUGGCAUCUUAAACACUACUGGAGGAAGAGGAGCAGGAGAGGAAAGGGGGUGAAGAAAGAGCUGUGAGUGAAGCGGCCAUUUCCCCAUCUUCUGGACUCGCUGGGGAACUCGGCAAACCUGCUGCCUCUGG
Long non-coding RNA from Zootoca vivipara (common lizard), 498 nucleotides. RefSeq lists it as uncharacterized. The record is from RefSeq and is a predicted model, not a curated record. NCBI's taxonomy places the organism in Eukaryota, Metazoa, Chordata, Lepidosauria, Squamata, Lacertidae.